GGUUUCAUGGUGUAGUUGGUUAUCACGUAUCCUUAACAUUCAACGAAUGAUUCGGAUAAGGUCUGCGGUUCGAUCCCGCAUGAAAUCA
This 88-nucleotide transfer RNA is filed under the name Leucosporidium creatinivorum. RNAcentral describes it as "tRNA-Val". The record is from RNAcentral. Lineage: Eukaryota; Fungi; Basidiomycota; Microbotryomycetes; Leucosporidiales; Leucosporidiaceae.